Molecule: small nuclear RNA, 107 nt
Organism: Ursus americanus (American black bear)
Lineage: Eukaryota; Metazoa; Chordata; Mammalia; Carnivora; Ursidae
Source: Ensembl
GUGCUCACUUAGGCAGCACAUAUACUAAAAUUGGAACAAUACAGAGAAGAUUAGCACGGCCCCUGCUCAAGGAUGACACACAAAUUCGUGAAGCGUUCCAUAUUUUU